UGGCAGUAAGAUGAUUUAGUACC
Molecule: microRNA, 23 nt
Filed under: Oikopleura dioica
Lineage: Eukaryota; Metazoa; Chordata; Appendicularia; Copelata; Oikopleuridae
Description: odi-miR-1472
Source: miRBase by way of RNAcentral